AGUGAACGCUGGCGGUAGGCCUAACACAUGCAAGUCGAACGGCAGCACAGUAAGAGCUUGCUCUUACGGGUGGCGAGUGGCGGACGGGUGAGGAAUACAUCGGAAUCUACUUUUUCGUGGGGGAUAACGUAGGGAAACUUACGCUAAUACCGCAUACGACCUACGGGUGAAAGCAGGGGAUCUUCGGACCUUGCGCGAUUGAAUGAGCCGAUGUCGGAUUAGCUAGUUGGCGGGGUAAAGGCCCACCAAGGCGACGAUCCGUAGCUGGUCUGAGAGGAUGAUCAGCCACACUGGAACUGAGACACGGUCCAGACUCCUACGGGAGGCAGCAGUGGGGAAUAUUGGACAAAGGGCGCAAGCCUGAUCCAGCCAUACCGCGUGGGUGAAGAAGGCCUUCGGGUUGUAAAGCCCUUUUGUUGGGAAAGAAAAGCAGCAGCUUAAUACCCCGCUGUUCUGACGGUACCCAAAGAAUAAGCACCGGCUAACUUCGUG
RNAcentral lists this ribosomal RNA (492 nucleotides) under uncultured bacterium. RNAcentral describes it as "partial 16S ribosomal RNA". It matches the Rfam family "Bacterial small subunit ribosomal RNA", at positions 29 to 507 of the family's 1533-position model. The record is from RNAcentral.